GUGUUGUAUGAAAGGAGAGAAGUUUAGCACUCCCCUAGACAAGGAUGGAACACACAAACUCGUAAGGCACUCGUCGCAUUGCGCGGCACUUACGAACAUUUUUUU
Molecule: non-coding RNA, 105 nt
Filed under: Copidosoma floridanum
Lineage: Eukaryota; Metazoa; Arthropoda; Insecta; Hymenoptera; Encyrtidae
Source: RNAcentral